RNAcentral lists this ribosomal RNA (497 nucleotides) under uncultured bacterium. RNAcentral describes it as "partial 16S ribosomal RNA". It matches the Rfam family "Bacterial small subunit ribosomal RNA", at positions 28 to 507 of the family's 1533-position model. The record is from RNAcentral.
GAUGAACGCUGGCGGCGUGCCUAAUACAUGCAAAUAGAACGCUGAAGGAAGGAGCUUGCUCUUUCCGGAUGAGUUGCGAACGGGUGAGUAACGCGUAGGUAACCUGCCUGGUAGCGGGGGAUAACUAUUUGAAACGAUAGCUAAUACCGCAUAACAGUAGAUGUUGCAUGAUAUCUACUUAAAAGGUGCAAUUGCACCACUACCAGAUGGACCUGCGUUGUAUUAGCUAGUUGGUGAGGUAACGGCUCACCAAGGCGACGAUACAUAGCCGACCUGAGAGGGUGAUCGGCCACACUGGGACUGAGACACGGCCCAGACUCCUACGGGAGGCAGCAGUAGGGAAUCUUCGGCAAUGGACGGAAGUCUGACCGAGCAACGCCGCGUGAGUGAAGAAGGUUUUCGGAUCGUAAAGCUCUGUUGUAAGAGAAGAACGAGUGUGAGAGUGGAAAGUUCACACUGUGACGGUAUCUGACCAGAAAGGGACGGCUAACUACGUG